UGCAGAGGGGGCAAGCGUUGUUCGGAAUUACUGGGCGUAAAGGGCGCGUAGGCGGCCUGUUAAGUCGAACGUGAAAUCCCCGGGCUCAACCCGGGAACUGCGUCCGAUACUGGCAGGCUUGAAUCCGGGAGAGGGAUGCGGAAUUCCAGGUGUAGCGGUGAAAUGCGUAGAUAUCUGGAGGAACACCGGUGGCGAAGGCGGCAUCCUGGACCGGCAUUGACGCUGAGGCGCGAAAGCCAGGGGAGCAAACGGG
This 253-nucleotide ribosomal RNA is filed under the name uncultured bacterium. RNAcentral's name for it is "partial 16S ribosomal RNA". It matches the Rfam family "Bacterial small subunit ribosomal RNA", at positions 524 to 776 of the family's 1533-position model. The record is from RNAcentral.